Molecule: ribosomal RNA, 320 nt
Filed under: uncultured eukaryote
Lineage: Eukaryota
Description: partial 18S ribosomal RNA
Rfam family: Eukaryotic small subunit ribosomal RNA
Source: RNAcentral
CCCCUAGAUGUUCUGGGCCGCACGCGCGCUACACUGAACAGUUCAACAAGUCUUAACCUUGGCCGAUAGGUCUGGGUAAUCUUUGAACGCUGUUCGUGAUUGGGAUAGACCUUUGCAAUUAUGGGUCUUCAACGAGGAAUUCCUAGUAAACGCAAGUCAUCAGCUUGCAUUGAUUACGUCCCUGCCCUUUGUACACACCGCCCGUCGCACCUACCGAUUGAGUGGUCCGGUGAAAUCUCGGGACGGCGGCUUGGUCGCUUGCGUCCGACUGCUGAAACUUGAUUAAACCAUAUCAUUUAGAGGAAGGUGAANUCGUANCA